This is a long non-coding RNA of Manacus vitellinus (golden-collared manakin), 1615 nucleotides long. NCBI's taxonomy places the organism in Eukaryota, Metazoa, Chordata, Aves, Passeriformes, Pipridae. The record is from Ensembl.
GAUUUACAGUGUUUAAAAUCAGCACUGUUUCUUAUUGAAGUAGUUCCCACUCAUGUUGCUGUUAGAACUAUUUGUUAUUUCUUUUAGCUGGAUCAGUUACCUAAUCCAAUGAGGCAGCAAGAACACAAAAAAGCAGUGGGGGAAAUGGUGAAGACACCCCAGUGUGAUGGCCUUAGGUACUGCAAUGUCCUGCAUGAAGACGCAAACCCACAAAGGGCAGUCCAAGUUACAAGCCUUGUCGUGAUGCAGGAAGCCCAUGGUCCCAUGACGAUCUGUUAUGACCCUUCUUCCUUCACAAGUGGCAGCAGAACUCCAGAGAGGAAGAGGCAAAUUCAGAACAUAAUGCCACCUCCAACAGUCGUAGUGCUGAUCCUGGAGAGAGCUAAGGCAACUUCUAUGUGUGUAUAUAUAGAAAUCUUCCAUCAAAGAAGUACCUAUGAAAACAAAUCCUGGGCCAAGGUCCCACCAUGUUCAUUGCUAUCCAUAAACAUUCCUGCCCAAAGUAACCCAGAAUCUAAACACAAAAAAGUGAUGGAUGAAUACAGACAGCCAGAGUUUAUGAAGCAGUCAGUAUCGAUCAGUGUGACAGGCACUGGCCUCUGCUCAGCAAUUUAGUAAAGAUGUGGAAGUCAGAGGAAGGCAAGGAAAAGCUGGGCUGAAAGCCUGGCUGAUCUUUCAAGGGGAUUUGCAAGGACCAAGCUUAGUAGUUGCUGCCUAGAGGUCAGAAGGCAUUUUGCAUAGCUGAUGCAUGUAACAUGAUAGGUAAAGGCAAUUAAAAAAUACCAAAGCCAGUAAAAGACACAUUUAAACCAUGUGCCAUUGCUAUUGAAAUUGAAACAACAAAGAUGAACACAAGGCCACUGGGAGAGUAGAACAAUAUAAGGUACAUAAAAAGAAUAGGAGUGUCUGCUGAGAAAUUCUUGGGAGUUCAGCUGGUGACAAUGCCACUGAGAGCAGAAAAGAAAGCAAGGACGCAGGUGUUUUAGGAGCCAAAGAUGAGCAGUAGUUGGAUAAAAUAACAGCAGUGAUGGAACCAAAUGCACAAAACAGGACUGAAUAUCUGUUCCCAGCUGAACAUGAAUUCUCUGCUACAGGCAAAGUUUUUCAUUUUUUCCUCAUUUUCAGGAAAUUUCCUCGUGAUUAGUGUCUUCCUGCCACUUAAGCAGCAUGUCAGUGGCAUACAGAGUAGGCAGCACUGUAUUACCAGAUCAGCACUGUCAACAAAGAUUUAGCAUUUGAUUGUUCAAGGACAACAAGUACUUAGGCUGGAGAAAUUCAAAAACUUCAAGAAUUCUAACAAAAAUGUGGUUUUAAAUAGAUUUGCACUCCAAGUAUCCAACUAACUGAAACUGGUUAAACACAGACAAUUACUUGCAUUUCUUAGGUGCAAUGAAGAUGUCACCAGUUAUGGAUGAUCAUAUAAAAGAUUUAACAUCCUCUCAACUUUAGUAGCACAGCACAAGAAAUCCAUUCAGACAUAAUAGGUUGACACUGCUACUUUAAAUACAGCCUGUGUAUUAAAAGUGAGUAAUUUUAAUUUGAGAUAUGUCCAGUAAAAUCCUGACCAGUGAAGCUUAACCAACCAGUGGUGCAAAAGCCAAGCUCUACUGGGACC